GCGGUCGUAGCUCAAUUGGAUAGAGCCGUAGCCUUCGAAGCUAUUGGUUGGGGGUUCGAGUCCCUCCGACCGCG
The sequence is a transfer RNA, 74 nucleotides long. It matches the Rfam family "tRNA". Rfam says of the family: Transfer RNA (tRNA) molecules are approximately 80 nucleotides in length.